RNAcentral lists this long non-coding RNA (335 nucleotides) under Solanum lycopersicum (tomato). RNAcentral's name for it is "long non-coding RNA (SLYC_LNC000333)". The record is from RNAcentral. Lineage: Eukaryota; Viridiplantae; Streptophyta; Magnoliopsida; Solanales; Solanaceae.
CAACAUCAUCUUCACCAACACAUCAAGAAAUAGUUAAUGGAAGACAUGAUAGUGUAUUACCACCUCCUUCUCCCAAGACUGAUCCAAUUAUUGGUCAACUCACAACAAUUACUACUACUCCUCAUCAUGACGACACCGUCGCGGCGCCGCCUGUUGGUGGGAGGCACGAUUAUGUAGCCUCACCACCACCACCAAAGCCACAAGAUGAACAAAGGCAGAUCAUUAUCACAUCCUCUUCUUCUACUUUGCCUCUUCAAGCUUCCUAUUAAGCUAGCAUCGGAACUUUAUAAUAUAAUAUAUGUUCACUACUAAGUGUAGUAUUUUUUAUUUUAUGU